Molecule: non-coding RNA, 24 nt
Filed under: Cricetulus griseus (Chinese hamster)
Lineage: Eukaryota; Metazoa; Chordata; Mammalia; Rodentia; Cricetidae
Source: RNAcentral
CAAUCUGCCUACGACAAACAGACC